GGGGACUCCAGUCAGACUGUGAGCUUCUCGGGCCCAAACAGGAGCAUUUAUAGCAGCAAACCCGGGGGAAAACGGCCAUAACUUCUAAAUGGAUCGAAGAAUCCCUGAAUUGCUCUGAAUCAGAAUUAAAUGGUGCAGCAGGCGGAGCGCCUUCACAUCGCUUGAGUCAUUGCAAUGGGUGUUUUCCAAAUCAAGUGAAUCACUGGACCAUUUCUCAACGCCCACGAAAUGAGCUAACGACUCACGGCUUGAGUGGGAAUCCCUAAUCCAUCAGGCAAUUGCUAAAUUACCCGUCUGGAUGGCAGGCAAACUCAUUAGGCGCUUAUCUGAUAGUUCAACCAAGACAUUGCCCCUACUGAUCUAAUUUCCCAGACUGCCUCUCAUUUU
Long non-coding RNA from Drosophila teissieri, 387 nucleotides. RefSeq lists it as uncharacterized. The transcript is spliced from 3 exons. The record is from RefSeq and is a predicted model, not a curated record. Lineage: Eukaryota; Metazoa; Arthropoda; Insecta; Diptera; Drosophilidae.